GUGCUACUCGCUUCGUCCGAAAAAGCUUGUCCCAAGCUUGUCUUUUAAAUGGAUGUAUCUAGCACUAAUUUGAUGCUAGAUAGAUCCAUUUGAGGGGCAAGCUUUUUCGGACGGAGGGAGUACAAU
Molecule: non-coding RNA, 126 nt
Organism: Triticum urartu
Lineage: Eukaryota; Viridiplantae; Streptophyta; Magnoliopsida; Poales; Poaceae
Source: Rfam